Molecule: ribosomal RNA, 373 nt
Filed under: uncultured Bacteroidota bacterium
Lineage: Bacteria; Pseudomonadati; Bacteroidota
Description: bacterial SSU rRNA
Rfam family: Bacterial small subunit ribosomal RNA
Source: RNAcentral
UAAUACGGAGGGUGCGAGCGUUAUCCGGAAUUAUUGGGUUUAAAGGGUGCGUAGGCGGAAAUUUAAGUCAGUGGUGAAAUCCUGCAGCUCAACUGCAGAAUGGCCAUUGAAACUGAAUUUCUUGAAUCUGAUUGAAGUAGGCGGAAUAUGACAUGUAGCGGUGAAAUGCUUAGAUAUGUCAUAGAACACCGAUAGCGAAGGCAGCUUACUAAGUCAGUAUUGACGCUAAUGCACGAAAGCGUGGGGAGCGAACAGGAUUAGAUACCCUGGUAGUCCACGCCGUAAACGAUGAUUACUCGCUAUUGGCGAUACACUGUCAGUGGCUAAGCGAAAGUGAUAAGUAAUCCACCUGGGGAGUACGAUCGCAAGGUUG